AUGGAUAACAUCAGCAUGACAUCAUAAAGGGAAGUCUGUUGUCUCCAUGCAGAUGGCUUCAUUACAAGCCAAGCUGAACUAGCAGUUCAUUAACACAAUUUAAGUGAAGACUUAGACUAAUAUAUGGUUAUGUGGUUUUAUAGAAAGUACAUCAGACAAGAUGAUCAAGAAGGCUGGUAGGGCCUCAUAUUAUAUAAUGGUUUCCAGAAUCUCUCCCAGCCUACGACUAUCAUUCAUCAAACACCAAAAACCAUCCGAACUCUACUACAGGUAGCCAGUGAAAUAUGAUCAUGACACAGUCUGUCUAUUGCAGUUGUUAAAUCAUGAUGGUUGUAAAACACACAACUAAUCCAAUUUUAUGGUAGUGAAAAAUUUGUGGCAGGUAUUAAGUGGACACCAUGCUCACAAAGUAAAUGCCAUGGUCGUAAAGUGAAAAGCAAGGUGAUCAUUGUUAUUGUUAGGUGACCACUGCAGUUGUUAAGUGAACUCAUUGAUCACUAUUGUGCAGUUUUGCCAAAAACUGGAAGUAAGUGCUGGCUUUCAAUAAAACUGUUGUAAAAUGUGGUAAAAUUA
Molecule: non-coding RNA, 573 nt
Organism: Pantherophis guttatus
Lineage: Eukaryota; Metazoa; Chordata; Lepidosauria; Squamata; Colubridae
Source: RefSeq, a predicted model, not a curated record